GGAUUGCUUAGUCAGGUAGAGCAUGAGACUCUUUAUCUCAGGGUCAUGGGUUUGAGCCUCAUGUUGGGCA
RNAcentral lists this transfer RNA (70 nucleotides) under Podarcis lilfordi (Lilford's wall lizard). Its description in RNAcentral is "tRNA.Lys". The record is from RNAcentral. Lineage: Eukaryota; Metazoa; Chordata; Lepidosauria; Squamata; Lacertidae.